AACUUUAAUCGGUNCUCGACGAAUGCAUCNAGAAUUAUNAUUUGAUCAUGGCUCAGAGUGAACGCUGGCGUGUAGGCCUAACACAUGCAAGUCGAACGGCAGCACAGGAGAGCUUGCUCUCAUGGGUGGCGAGUGGCGGACGGGUGAGGAAUACAUCGGAAUCUACUCUGUCGUGGGGGAUAACGUAGGAAACUCGCUCCGUCCGAACCUAACGGGGGUGAAAANGCCCGGGGCGAUCUAUCCGGGAAAACCUUGGACGGACCACNUUGAAACUGACGCCCCGACAUGGCAUCGCGAAUUUAGCCUACCUNUUGAGGGCCGGNGGCNGGGGCUAUCAAAAAGGGCCCCCCAACCCCAAAAAAGGGACGGAAACAGAAAAUCCACCGAGGAUAAACAUNGGNGACCCAAUGNAAACAAAGCGGACAUUGAAAUCCAAGGACCACGCAAACACAUGGGAAACACUACGGAANAAAACCCAACCGCGNGUCCCCAAGAACUUCCACACAACCCACNAAGCNAUGACGNCCAUGUCAACAGUCGAAGGGGACACAUAAAUUAGCUAGCAACACAGAAUACGAGANACAGGCNAAAAGACCACAUNCAACGACUCNACAAGACCAAAUA
This 624-nucleotide ribosomal RNA is filed under the name uncultured bacterium. Its description in RNAcentral is "partial 16S ribosomal RNA". The record is from RNAcentral.